RNAcentral lists this ribosomal RNA (472 nucleotides) under uncultured Fusibacter sp. RNAcentral's name for it is "bacterial SSU rRNA". It matches the Rfam family "Bacterial small subunit ribosomal RNA", at positions 912 to 1382 of the family's 1533-position model. The record is from RNAcentral. Lineage: Bacteria; Bacillati; Bacillota; Clostridia; Eubacteriales; Fusibacteraceae.
GACGGGGACCCGCACAAGCAGCGAGCAUGUGGUUUAAUCGAAGCAACGCGAAGAACCUUACCAGAUCUUGACAUCCAAUUGACCAUCUUUUAAUCGAGAUUUUGCCUUCGGGUACAAUUGAGACAGGUGGUGCAUGGUUGUCGUCAGCUCGUGUCGUGAGAUGUUGGGUUAAGUCCCGCAACGAGCGCAACCCUUGUGUUUUAGUUGCAAACAGGUCAAGCUGUGCACUCUAGACAGACUGCCGUGGACAACACGGAGGAAGGUGGGGAUGACGUCAAAUCAUCAUGCCCCUUAUGAUCUGGGCUACACACGUGCUACAAUGGCCGGUACAACGGGCAGCGAAGGAGCGAUCCGGAGCGAAUCCUAAAAAGCCGGUCCCAGUUCGGAUUGCAGGCUGAAACUCGCCUACAUGAAGUUGGAGUUGCUAGUAAUCGCGAAUCAGAAUGUCGCGGUGAAUGCGUUCCCGGGUCUU